UACGUAGGGUCCGAGCGUUGUCCGGAAUUAUUGGGCGUAAAGAGCUCGUAGGCGGUGUGUCACGUCGGCCGUGAAAACCUGGGGCUUAACUCUGGGCGUGCGGUCGAUACGGGCAUCACUAGAGUUCGGCAGGGGAGACUGGAAUUCCUGGUGUAGCGGUGAAGUGCGCAGAUAUCAGGAGGAACACCGGUGGCGAAGGCGGGUCUCUGGGCCGAUACUGACGCUGAGGAGCGAAAGCAUGGGGAGCGAACAGG
Molecule: ribosomal RNA, 254 nt
Filed under: uncultured bacterium
Lineage: Bacteria
Description: partial 16S ribosomal RNA
Rfam family: Bacterial small subunit ribosomal RNA
Source: RNAcentral